This 753-nucleotide long non-coding RNA is filed under the name Anolis carolinensis (green anole). Its description in RNAcentral is "lncRNA (ENSACAG00000041351.1)". Lineage: Eukaryota; Metazoa; Chordata; Lepidosauria; Squamata; Anolidae. The record is from RNAcentral.
AGGGUUACUAUUAACAAGGAUAUAUAAAUUGGCUUAAAGGCUUCAUAGUGCUUCAGGGUUGGAAGUCAUGGUGAAGGGUGCACGGGUGUGGGGAAGGGGUUUUAUUUUAUGUGGGAUAGGGGUUUUGGGUGCGUGCAGGGUUUGUUGUGUGUAAUACGUUGUAUGUUUUUGUUUUGUUUGAAUAUUAGGGUAAACUCUUAGAUUUAAUUUCUAAAAAAAAAGUAAAAAUGAAUAGAAACCUGGAUUGAGAGUGGUGGAUGACAUGUGGAAAGAGCAGUUCUAUAUGUUUUGAGUAACAGAUAAUAAUAUGUACUGUGUUAGAAUUGGCAGGCUGGUUGACUAAUGUAGAUAUGCAUGUACAUUUCAAAAUGAUUGUUAUCUGACUAUAUUUGCGAUAAUUUGCUGUUUUGUUAUGUAACGUUUCAUUAAUAAACUGUUUACCCACAAAAAAAAAAAAAAAAACAAGGAAGGGGAGAGAAGCCUUGAACUCUUUUAAGGAAAGAUGUAGGUGUAAAUAAAUCAAUAUUCUAGGUACGAGAGGAAAAAUUAGCAGAAGACAAAGUUAAGAAGAAAGUGGCUGCUAAGAAGCUGGAGGAAAUUGAAGCCCGGCGCAAACAAGAUGAAGAAGCCCGCAAACAGAAAGCUCUGCAGCUGAAAGAACAAUUGAAGCAAGAAGAGGAACAAAAGGCAGCAGAGGCCAAGACGGCUAGCAAACAACUGAAUGUGACGGUAGAUAUUCAGGAAAUCAACUGA